UCUCAUCUUGUAUUAAAUGGGAAUAACCAGGUAGCUCAUGGUUAACAUGUAUGCCCGGCCCAUUAUUAUCCUAUACGCCUUCUAUCGCAGCCCAACACAUGUAGCCAAAUUUUUAAAGGUAUUAAGUCACCGAUAUCUCUCAAACACUUUGUGAAAAGUUCAUUUGCGAACACCUCUUCUCUUGAUAAAUACUUCAGCUCUGUCCUCCCCUCUGUCGAUUGGUAUUUUUUACUGUGUGUUUUUUUCUCAUCUAGUAUUUCUUGUACUAAUUAUUUCAGUCCUUCACAAUACGCCAGGUGUAUCUGUUUUCCUCCAAGUAGCGAAAAAAUUCCCAUAGAGAAACUGUAAUAAGUUCAUAGAUUUUGUUCUCUAAGUGUUUGACGAAAAAUUUCAAUCAGUUUUUCUAUUAGAUUUCAUAUGCAUGUUCUAGUUUCAUUCUUUGGUUGCCAUUUCUUUUUGGUUUCUUCCGCAUACCCUUAGUUAGACUGUUGAUGUGUGCCUCUAUGUUUUUCUGUUUCUCGCUACAUCAUUUUAAUUUCUGAUAUAUCACCAGUAGACACUAUUUGAAGGGUAGUUAUGUAAAUUGUUCUGUUGCGGAAAGAAGAAGAAGAAGAAGAAGUGGAAGAAGAAGAAAAGGAGGAGGAGCCGGUGAUCAGUAAUGUUUCUUUAUUGAAUGAACACCGUGACACAUGAACUCCGUGCUACCAAAUUGUUAGCCAGUUACUUCUUAAUUUAGCUUGCUAGCCUUCACGAAAAUCAUAUAUUCCUUAAAUGGUGUAUUGAUUUCUCAAUCAGUUGUCAAAAAGAUGGGUUGCGCCGUCAAAGAAUAUAAUAUCUGACUGAAACUACAUAUUUUGGAUUAUUGCUUGGACUUCCACAAUAACUUAACCAUUAAACCAAGUAAUUCGUUCCCUUAUUCCUGAACUAGGGUGAGAGUAUCCUUAUCUGCAAAACAUAUGCUGUGAGGUUUAAGUCAGCAUUUACCUGCUUUCAUGGAAUGCAAAAUCCUGAGGGAGCUAGUAAAGUACUCUAUGUAUGAGGGAGCUACUAAAGUACUCUAUAUAUGUUAUAACAGUAUCUUGUCUCACCAUAUAAUCUUAAUGUCGAUUAACAGAGGAAACUAUUGAAAAGAGAAAUAUGGUUUUAGCUAAAUCUUUUAUUCCUGGUUUACAGAGCUGUUGCAAUUCGAAGAGAGAAGGGAGGGGCAUGUCUUCAACCGAAACUGCCAUACAAUGGAUUAGUUUCUGCGCUGCUGCUUUUACUCCGUUGGAUAGAUAGUUCUUGCACAUGCUUGCUCCCUGAUAAUCUAAAUCUCUUUCGUGUCCUUAUUUACAAGGUUUGGCCUCAAUUUCUCUUGUUCAUUCUGAAAUAUAUUUCUUUACCCUUGCCCAUUCCUUCUUUUUGCAACUAAUCGUAAUUUAAUUCCCUUUUGUAGGUGGUUUAUACAUUAGAAGAGUCAAUAUGUGUAAAUCAAACAGCAUAUACCGAAAAAGAAUCAUCAAACUCCAAUUUGCAUCUAGAUUUGAUGAGUGUUCAAUAUUUUUCUUUUCUGCACUUUAUUAGUGACAAUAAAAAGACUAGGACAUAGUCAUAACGGGAAACGGUAGGAAUUGAGUGUGACGAAGGGGUUAAACUAUUUUGCUAAUUGCUUGAGUCAGAAUCAUAUUUGCACAGAUGAUACAUCACCUACUUGGUAGUUUUGUCAUACUUUGUUGAAAGAGGUCUCACGAUUUUGAACGACUUUCGUGAAAGCUACAUUUUUUAUUUUUGUUUUUGCUGUUGCUAUUUUAAAUCUGGUUAUUUUGUAUGAAUAGGUUUUCAAAUGAAUAAGAUGUUUACUGGCUGAUAAGUUAACCAAAUUUUUCUACAAUUAUAUAUACCAAUGUUACAAGUAGUUGAUCAUUUUAGGUCCUUUCUAGCAGUUAACAAACUAUGUUAUUGUUUCAUAUAUUCUUGAACAAAAAUUCGAUUAUAUCACAUUUUAUGAAUAGUUAGUGCAUAACCUUUUCUUCUCAUUGAUGGCAAAUUAUACAUUCUUUUAUAUACACCUCCAGUUACAUCAUGGAAGGAUGUGCUAUGUGAAAUUUACAUGCUCCUUACAAUUUUAUGUUUAAGCAAUGCAGCUAAACAUAAAUUUGCACAAAUAGUUGGAUUGAGACAUGGACAUUGAAGGAUGAAUUCGCUAUUCUCUAUAUUUCAACCCCGAACAAAAAUACUUAUAUUUGGUGACUGUUUUGUCAACCCUGAAUGACCUCAAUAGUUUAGGGUAAACUUUAAUGAUAGAGAACGGUCACCUUUCACACUUUUGCAGCCACUUUGAACUUAGUUUAUCGUCUUUAUUACCAUUAUCUUUUUUUGUUCUUUUUUUUGUUUAACAUUUUCUCUUCUCCAUUCAUAUGUGCAGAGGGUAAAUUCAAUACAUGCAUUAUGGUCUUUCGACCUUAAUCAAGACAUUUACCAUGAAACAGUAACAGUGAUCAAAUGUACAUUGUACGACCACCUCAAUCUUGAUCUGUACAACAACCUCAAAGGUGAUUGCGGAACUAAGUUAAAAUGUAAUAGAGUUUUGAAACUAGUAGUUCUAAUUGUGAUAUAGGUACUGCAUAUGGUGUGCAUAGUUGCUACAAUCUUCUCCAAAAUCUGGAUAGUAAAAGAUAACACGGAGGACAAAAACAACACACAAAAAUUCUCUGCUUUGUAGGGGAAUAUUGUCGAGGCAGCAUGUCUUAGCCAAGAUAAUUGAUAGAGAAGAGGACUUUCUAUUUGUAACGGAUGUUACCUGUGUAAAAACUGACAAAUAGAAUCUAUCAGUCAUUUAAAAAAAUUUUAGGUAUUGACUUCAUGAUGCCACAAAAUAUCAAAUGAUUUCUUUCGGAUCGGCGAGCACAAAG
RNAcentral lists this long non-coding RNA (2891 nucleotides) under Nicotiana benthamiana. Its description in RNAcentral is "long non-coding RNA (NBEN_LNC011309)". The record is from RNAcentral. Lineage: Eukaryota; Viridiplantae; Streptophyta; Magnoliopsida; Solanales; Solanaceae.